AAAUCUGUUUUAUUCUCAAUACAUUGUUAUUAACCAUAGUCAUCAUGUUAUACAAUAGAUCUCUUGAACUCAUUUCUCCUAACUGAAAUUUGUAUCCCUUGACCAAGGUUUUCCCCAGUCCCCCAUCAG
Molecule: long non-coding RNA, 129 nt
Organism: Sapajus apella (tufted capuchin)
Lineage: Eukaryota; Metazoa; Chordata; Mammalia; Primates; Cebidae
Exons: 3
Source: RefSeq, a predicted model, not a curated record